UGGGGAAUUUUGGACAAUGGGGGCAACCCUGAUCCAGCCAUCCCGCGUGUGCGAUGAAGGCCUUCGGGUUGUAAAGCACUUUUGGCAGGGAAGAAACAGCCUGGGCUAAUAUCCCGGGCGACUGACGGUACCUACAGAAUAAGCACCGGCUAACUACGUGCCAGCAGCCGCGGUAAUACCUAGGGUGCAAGCGUUAAUCGGAAUUACUGGGCGUAAAGCGUGCGCAAGCGGUUCGGAAAGAAAGGUGUGAAAUCCCAGGGCUUAACCUUGGAACUGCACUUUUAACUUCCGGGCUAGAGUACGUCAGAGGGGGGUAGAAUUCCACGUGUCGCAGUGAAAUGCGUAGAGAUCGGGAGGAAAACCAGUGGCGAAGGCGGCCAGCUGGGCCUUUACUGACGCUGAGGCACGAAAGCAUGGGUAGCAAACA
This 427-nucleotide ribosomal RNA is filed under the name uncultured bacterium. RNAcentral describes it as "bacterial SSU rRNA". It matches the Rfam family "Bacterial small subunit ribosomal RNA", at positions 355 to 774 of the family's 1533-position model. The record is from RNAcentral.